UCCAGCUGGUCGCGGUUAGCCUGGGCUGUGGCGUCUUCCUCAGGACCACCUGCAGCCGGCGAGCUUGGGGCCGGGACCCUGCCCGCCUUCGAGUCCUCCUCUGGCAUAUGCAAUAGACUCACUGCUCGAUUUAUCUGUUUAUCUGUAUUUACCGACUUGCACAGUUAUACCAAGAAAUGUUUACACAGAUGAUGAUAAGCAUAUGUAGAAAUGCAACAUUUUCACAGACCAGAAUAACCAACUCCAGGCUGCAGUUCUCUGCACGAAGAUGAAGUUUGAUGGGGAAACUCCCUCAGCUCCUGACCGCAGCGACCUGAGCCUAGUGGAGCAGCUGGGGACGGUGGGCAGAGCCAGGUGUGGACAGGCGGUAGGUCCUGCACCUGGAUGCGGGGAGCAGCAGGCUCCAGGGUCAAGUUGAGGGUGUGCUAGUCCGGGCCUCCAGGCCUCAGGUGGCCCACUCUGCCCUCUGCCUGUUGCCCCCCUUGUAAAGUGGGGAGUAAGGGACCAUCACGAGCCAGGGGUUGGUGGCACAUGCUGUGGUCUCAGCCACUCAGGAGGCUGGGACUGGAGGGUCACUUGUGUCCCAGAGCUGAAGCUGUGGUCUGUGAGCCGGGUGCCUGUAAAUAGCCACUGUGCUCCAGCCUAGGCAACGCUGAGACCCCGGCUCUGAAAACCCACAAAACUUAAAAGAUGAACACAGAUAAACUAUGGGAGCCCGGUAUGCGGUAAGCACUCUACAGGUGACAGCCUGGAACCCAGGACAGGUCACGGAAGGCUGCUGGCUUCAGUCACUGCCUGGUGGAAAACAAGCCUGUCUUUGGGACCAGCCAGCUAACAAGUGAGCGUUUCACCACAUCUGAAGGCAAAGUACCCAAAUGGGCAACCGUGGACGGCUAUGUAAAAAUCAAGGCUCCUGGGACACCUUCUCGGGACACAUUCUUAAUAAACAGAUACGUGCAUGAGGACUUUGUAUGCAUUUCUAUGCAACAGGCCACCCAAACCUCAGUGAGCAAAAACCUCUCUUCACUGCUCAUGACCCUGUGGGCCUGCAGCUUGAGCCAGUUCAGCUGAGACUGCUUCUCUCAGCCCCACGAGGUGACCACUGGGCCUACUUAUCAGCAGUGGCCUCCUGGCAGAUCCGGGCCACGUGUCACCAGCCAGACUGGCCGGGCCUCCCUCCCGGCGGGUCUCUAUCGGUCUCUAUUGGCAGCGAGAGAAAGCAAAUCCCUGUGGUGCUUCCAUCCCUCUCCCCAGGAGAAGCAGAGCAGCAGAAAGCAGAUGGCGGCCAGGGCCGGGACCCUCUGCUGUUCCCACGGGCCUCUCCAGAGGCUCUGCAGGACCAGCCAGCAGCCUCUAAUGGUCCCGUCCUGUUCCACGCCCUCAGAUGCCAUCCUCUCCACAGAGAUGGUUCCUGCCAUGGCGCUCUCCCUAACUUGGAAGAAUGGCACUCCCCUUGGUGCUGAUGUCAGGGAGGAAAGCAGUUUCCAGUCGCCCAGGCCCAGGACAGGGCAUUCCCAGCUAUGGUGGAGCAUGGAGCUCCAGGAUGCCCACUUGGGUGCCUGUGAGAUGAGGCGCUUUGAGAAGGAACCCUGCAGUCUCCUGAGGAGGUCCAAAGAAAUUUCGAGGAUAUCUCAGCCAUCCGUUCUUUGUUCACUGUGGAAGUCGAACACUAGGGCUCCUGGAGGGGCCCUGGGUCUCCAUAGAAGCAUUAGCAGCCACCAUCUACUUCCUGGACUUCCGUGCCUGCCCCACCUCUGUUCUGUUGUUUACUGCCUCCUUUGUGGGAAUUAUGGAAUAAACAAUCACUUUGGUGUCCCAGAAGAU
Long non-coding RNA from Sapajus apella (tufted capuchin), 1824 nucleotides. RefSeq lists it as uncharacterized. NCBI's taxonomy places the organism in Eukaryota, Metazoa, Chordata, Mammalia, Primates, Cebidae. The transcript is spliced from 3 exons. The record is from RefSeq and is a predicted model, not a curated record.